ACGGGUCCGGGAGAAGCUAGUAGCGGAAACACAGUCACAUUGCUACCCGCUUGAGAGCCGAGAAGCGCGGGGAGACUUCUGGAUAUCUGACAGUCGCUGCCGAUGGCGCUGCUACACAGGGUACUUGUUAGGAAGCAGCUGGAACACAGACCAGUGGUGGGUGCCCACCACUAAUGACAAUGAUAAUGAGGAAAUUUGCUGUACAGUAUAAUGGCACACAUGCAAGAGUAGUGAGAUAAGUAGGAGGCGACAUAUGAAUAUAUGCAGAUGGGAAUUAGCAGUCCCAGUAAACACCUGGAGCCAAGGGGGAAACGUUGCAGAACAGAAAGAGUAUAGGGGUGCUGGAGCCUAUCCCAACUGUCUCCGGGCGAGAGGCAGGGUUCACCCUGGACUGGUCGCCAGCCAAUCACAUUCAUACCUAUGGACAAUUUGGAGUCGCCAAUUAACCUAGCAUGUUUUUGGAAUGUGGGAGUACCCGGAGAAAACCCCCGGAGAGGGAGAACAUGCAAACUCCACACAGAGAUGGCCAAGGGUGGAAUUGAACCCUGGUCUCCUAGCAAGCAAAAACAUUUCCAUUAAACACUGGGGAGGGAUGCUGAAAGUAGAACUUCCAUAAAGGUGUCACUCCUGAAUUAAUUUACAUUUUUUGCUUAAAUUACAACAUUGAAAUAUUAGUUUAAUGUGUAUUAUGCAUGAAAAUAGCCAGUAAACAGAGAUGAAUCUAUACAUUUGGUACAAUUAGCAUUGGCGGAGGUCUGUGUCUCAACAUGCUGUACUAAAUAUUUUUUCAGAAAACCAAUGUAUUUUGGCAUUGCUACCUUAAAAAUACAAUGUCUGGGGUUGUUAGGUUGUUUUUCUAUAAAGGUGAGGAGAGCUCAGUUGUAUGUCAUGUAUGAGGAGCAUGCUUCAGUGCAUCAGUUCUGUAUUGGUUAACGUAUAAAGCGUUUUCACUUUUUGAACUGAACUACUGAAAUAACUACAUUUUUUAAAGAUAUUCUAAGUUAUUGAGAUGCACAGGUAGCCCUUGUUUUAUCAUGUUAUGAUGUUUCGUGGUUACAAACACAAAUAAAAAAAUAAUACAUAGGUGGAAUUGUACAUAAUACGUUACUACACCUUUUACUCCUUUUUGUUAACUUUGCACAUCCUGCAAGACAACCACAGGGAUAAAAGUAAGGAUUGUUAUUAUUUAUUACUGUAUUUCAUAUAUCCUUCACUUAAAUGUUAGGUACAAAUUCCGACUCAACACUAAAAUUUGACUUUCAUAGUCUUUGGAGUGGAAUUUGAGCAACACCUCAGGUCCGGAAUGCAGAAUUUUUGUGACCCAGCCUCUUUUUGUCUUUCUUUUGCUUACCAUCUUUGGAGUUUGUCCUUCUGUCUAUUUUAGUGCCGCACCACCCACCCACGACAGGAACCUGCAUGCUGCUUGCAUGAAUAAUAAUACUCCAUUUAGUACAAACCGAUGGUGGCGAAAGGAAGCUGUAAUUCUUUUGCCCUUUAAGGCUAUUUCCUUUCUCCAUUGUCAAUUUUAAUCAUUCAUUUUUUGUGUGUGUGUAGAACAUCCAUUAAUAGAUAAUCAGCAGUGCUACAAAAUGUCACAAAAAUGCCCAUUUUAAUUUCUAAGACCUUUACAAAUGCUAAAUGUAUGUUUUGUUCAACUGAAAUGAAUUAUGUUUCCUACUUUCAAAAAUACAUUUUUGUAUUGUUCCUCCCACUCCUGUGUAUAGUCCAAAUAGUUGAAGUGAAUCCAAGAAGAGCAGACAGCGGGAAAGCCCAUGCAUCUUCCCUUCUCAUUAUGUAUAAUGUGGACAUGCUUUACUGGGUCACACCCAUUCUGAUAGCCCGCUUGUUGGAGCGUGAUGUGGGAGGAUUCAAACAGGGGCAUGCCAUGUGCAUUUAUGUGUCACAGGAGGCGAUGCGCACUCUUGCAAAAUAACCAAGUUGCCUGACUCGAUUAGAGAGAAUCCAUGUAACUUUUGCAAUGUGGAGGAUCACGGAAUGCUGCAGCCAGUGGGCAUUA
Doryrhamphus excisus (bluestripe pipefish) is the source of this 2017-nucleotide non-coding RNA. The record is from RefSeq and is a predicted model, not a curated record. NCBI's taxonomy places the organism in Eukaryota, Metazoa, Chordata, Actinopteri, Syngnathiformes, Syngnathidae.